UCGAAUUGAGCAAGUUGUUGUGUGAACCGAGAGAAAUGCAGUAGCAUUGGUCUUAAUUAAUUUGCAACCCAAAACCAUAGAACUCACCAUUUAUUUGCUUUAGUUGCUUUGAAAUCUUAAUAAACCGGCAUUAAUACGGCGGCUGUUGCAUUGGAAAUUUGAGCCUGUAACUUCAAGUUUUAAUACAAAAUCUCCUCCUCGCAAUUUGUCGGCCGCACUGCUCGAUGCAACCCCAAAUCAAAUUAAAUAAAGGUAAGACAACAUUCAAUGGUAAUAUUCACACCUCAAAUGUUAAAAUUCUUAGAGAUUUGAACAAAAUAUUGAUGCGAAGCUUUAUUUUAAAUAUUAUUAUUUACCUUAAGUUAUUCGGUUAAAUACUUCUUUUAAUAAGGUAUCAGGGUAAAGAUUCAAAGUUCAACUCUUUGUUCACAUUCGAACUUUUAUCUUUUGACUUAUUUAUGUCUUAAGUGGUAAUACACCCGUUAAAAUAUAUUGUAAAUAUCAUUAUUAAACUCUUAUAUAGAAUUUAAGAGUGUGUUUGG
Molecule: long non-coding RNA, 542 nt
Filed under: Citrus maxima (pomelo)
Lineage: Eukaryota; Viridiplantae; Streptophyta; Magnoliopsida; Sapindales; Rutaceae
Description: long non-coding RNA (CMAX_LNC004161)
Source: RNAcentral